Pipistrellus kuhlii (Kuhl's pipistrelle) is the source of this 252-nucleotide long non-coding RNA. RefSeq lists it as uncharacterized. Lineage: Eukaryota; Metazoa; Chordata; Mammalia; Chiroptera; Vespertilionidae. The record is from RefSeq and is a predicted model, not a curated record. The transcript is spliced from 3 exons.
AAUGACGCACUUGAGCAGAUGGAAGCAUCAUCCGUGGUCACAUGUUCUAUGGUUGCCUGUUUGUGUAGUGAGUAGAGACCAAUAAUGAAAGCACCUGAAGGAGAUUUGGCAUCUGUCGUGUUCAGAAGCUCCAUGGAGGGGCAUGAAGGCCAGUAAUCAACAUGCUCAAGCUGAUUUAAGUGUUUUCCAUGGCAACAAGAUCUCUGCGUAAAGCCUUGAGAUGAAAUGUGAGUAAAGGUUACCGUUCUUGUG